Molecule: ribosomal RNA, 484 nt
Filed under: uncultured bacterium
Lineage: Bacteria
Description: partial 16S ribosomal RNA
Rfam family: Bacterial small subunit ribosomal RNA
Source: RNAcentral
AUUGAACGCUGGCGGCAGGCCUAACACAUGCAAGUCGAGCGGAUGAAGGGAGCUUGCUCCUGGAUUCAGCGGCGGACGGGCGAGUAAUGCCUAGGAAUCUGCCUGGUAGUGGGGGAUAACGUCCGGAAACGGGCGCUAAUACCGCAUACGUCCUGAGGGAGAAAGUGGGGGAUCUUCGGACCUCACGCUAUCAGAUGAGCCUAGGUCGGAUUAGCUAGUUGGUGGGGUAAAGGCCUACCAAGGCGACGAUCCGUAACUGGUCUGAGAGGAUGAUCAGUCACACUGGAACUGAGACACGGUCCAGACUCCUACGGGAGGCAGCAGUGGGGAAUAUUGGACAAUGGGCGCAAGCCUGAUCCAGCCAUGCCGCGUGUGUGAAGAAGGUCUUCGGAUUGUAAAGCACUUUAAGUUGGGAGGAAGGGCAGUAAGUUAAUACCUUGCUGUUUUGACGUUACCAACAGAAUAAGCACCGGCUAACUUCGUG